GAAAGAGAGAGAGAGAGAAGAAGAAGAAGAAAACGUUCCUUCGUUUGUGUAGAAAUCUUUGGGUCUUGUACCAAGUUCUUUGUUUUAACCUUCUUUUCUUUUUUUCCUUCUUCUCUG
This 117-nucleotide non-coding RNA is filed under the name Chloropicon mariensis. Lineage: Eukaryota; Viridiplantae; Chlorophyta; Chloropicophyceae; Chloropicales; Chloropicaceae. The record is from RNAcentral.